RNAcentral lists this ribosomal RNA (503 nucleotides) under uncultured bacterium. Its description in RNAcentral is "partial 16S ribosomal RNA". It matches the Rfam family "Bacterial small subunit ribosomal RNA", at positions 30 to 523 of the family's 1533-position model. The record is from RNAcentral.
AUUGAACGCUGGCGGCAUGCCUUACACAUGCAAGUCGAGCGGGGUGAUGGUGCUUGCACUAUCACUUAGCGGCGGACGGGUGAGUAAUGCUUAGGAAUCUGCCUAUUAGUGGGGGACAACAUCUCGAAAGGGAUGCUAAUACCGCAUACGUCCUACGGGAGAAAGCAGGGGAUCACUUGUGACCUUGCGCUAAUAGAUGAGCCUAAGUCGGAUUAGCUAGUUGGUGGGGUAAAGGCCUACCAAGGCGACGAUCUGUAGCGGGUCUGAGAGGAUGGUCCGACACACUGGGACUGAGACACGGCCCAGACUCCUACGGGAGGCAGCAGUGGGGAAUAUUGGACAAUGGGAGGAACCCUGAUCCAGCCAUGCCGCGUGUGUGAAGAAGGCCUUAUGGUUGUAAAGCACUUUAAGCGAGGAGGAGGCUCUUUUGGUUAAUACCCAAGAUGAGUGGACGUUACUCGCAGAAUAAGCACCGGCUAACUCUGUGCCAGCCGCCGCGGUAA